UAGGGAAUCUUGGACAAUGGGCGAAAGCCUGAUCCAGCCAUGCCGCGUGAGUGAUGAAGGCCUUAGGGUUGUAAAGCUCUUUCGCCAGGGAAGAUAAUGACGGUACCUGGAUAAGAAGCCCCGGCUAACUUCGUGCCAGCAGCCGCGGUAAUACGAAGGGGGCUAGCGUUGUUCGGACUUACUGGGCGUAAAGCGCACGUAGGCGGCUUUCCAAGUUGGAGGUGAAAUCCCCGGGCUUAACCCGGGAACUGCCUCCAAAACUGAAAGGCUAUGGUCCGAGAGAGGUGAGUGGAAUUUCCAGUGUAGAGGUGAAAUUCGUAGAUAUUGGAAAGAACACCAGUGGCGAAGGCGGCUCACUUGCUCGGUACUGACGCUGAGGUGCGACAGCGUGGGGAGCAAACA
This 402-nucleotide ribosomal RNA is filed under the name uncultured bacterium. RNAcentral describes it as "bacterial SSU rRNA". It matches the Rfam family "Bacterial small subunit ribosomal RNA", at positions 355 to 774 of the family's 1533-position model. The record is from RNAcentral.